GAUGAACGCUAGCGGCAGGCUUAACACAUGCAAGUCGAGGGGCAACACGGGUAGCAAUACCUGGUGGCGACCGGCGCAAGGGUGCGUAACGCGUGAGCAACAUGCCCUAUACAGGGGGAUAAUCCAGGGAAACUUGGUCUAAUAUCCCAUAGUAUUUAGAGGUGGCAUCACCACUAAAUUAAAGCUUCGGUGGUAUAGGAUUGGCUCGCGUGACAUUAGCUGGAUGGUGGGGUAACGGCUCACCAUGGCGAUGAUGUCUAGGGGUUCUGAGAGGAAGACCCCCCACACUGGGACUGAGACACGGCCCAGACUCCUACGGGAGGCAGCAGUGAGGAAUAUUGGACAAUGGAUGGAAAUCUGAUCCAGCCAUGCCGCGUGCAGGAAGACGGCCCUAUGGGUUGUAAACUGCUUUUAUAUGGGAGCAAUAAGGGUUUACGCGUAGACCGAUGAGAGUACCAUAUGAAUAAGCAUCGGCUAACUCCG
RNAcentral lists this ribosomal RNA (483 nucleotides) under uncultured bacterium. Its description in RNAcentral is "bacterial SSU rRNA". It matches the Rfam family "Bacterial small subunit ribosomal RNA", at positions 28 to 505 of the family's 1533-position model. The record is from RNAcentral.